GAUGAAGAACGUAGCGAAAUGCGAUAAGUAAUGUGAAUUGCAGAAUUCAGUGAAUCAUCGAAUCUUUGAACGCACAUUGCGCCCAUUAGUAUUCUAGUGGGCAUGCCUGUUCGAGCGUCAUUACAACCCUUAAGCCCUAGUUGCUUAGUGUUGGGACCUUAGAUAACCCUCUCGUGAGGGCCUAAUUCCCUAAAGACAUGCAGAGUUCCGGCAUACUCUAAGCGUAGUAAUUAUUUUCUCGCUUCUGAAGUUGUCGGCGCGAUCGCCACAAACCUCUAUAUUUUCUAGUGGUUGACCUCGGAUCAGGUAGGAAUACCCGCUGAACUUAAGCAUAUCAAUAAGCGGAGGA
RNAcentral lists this unclassified non-coding RNA (349 nucleotides) under soil metagenome. RNAcentral's name for it is "partial contains 5.8S ribosomal RNA, internal transcribed spacer 2, and large subunit ribosomal RNA". The stretch from base 1 to 120 matches the Rfam family "5.8S ribosomal RNA", at positions 35 to 154 of the family's 154-position model. The record is from RNAcentral.